UGAAGACAUUCACUCAUGCAGUUGUGGCAAAUUAAGGACAGGAUUUCCAUGUCUCUGGGAAACCUUAGUUUUAACUCAAAGUUUUCAACUAAUUGGAUGAGGCCUAUGUGUAGCAUUGAGAGAAAUUUCCUUACAUUGAACAUAAUUUUAUGUAAACAUAUAAAUAAAACAUGAUGACUUUAUAUUGAAACAUAUCACCUGCCAUUAUUAGGAGCGACAGGGACACAGAAGGCAGAUACUUAACUACUAACUGGAAUUUCCAGUUAUACAUUUAAUAUUUCAAAUGUGUUUUUAGCUCUCUAUUGCAUAAUAGCUUUGGCCACAGAGGUAACAAAUGCGUGGGGUGUUUUUGGAAGGGGGCAAAUCAGACAGUAUUUUAUAAUGUCUUAACUGCAUUACUAAAGCACAGAUUAUAUGUGUGCCAGGAGGCUUCCAAAAUUCACAAAGACUUUUCUGAGCAAAAUAACUCCCAAGAACAGCAUAACCUAUCCGGUCACUUCGACCUGGCUCUCUCAGCCUCCUCAGCCACAUUUUACAGACAAGAAAACACCUCAGCUCAAUCCUUAGUAUCUCUUUCUAAUGUUAAUGAUUUUUAGUACUGUGUUUUUAAAAAGUGUCAUUUUAAAAUUGUCCUAUGACAAAUAUACUAUCCCAUAGGGCUCAUUAUGAGAACUUCCUAUCUCCAAGGAAAGGGACCGGGAAAUAUAUGCCAGAAACCUAGGUGUGACCUGUACAUCAUAUGAGGACAGUCCAUGUAUAUUUAAGAGUCAGUCUAGGGCCAGGGAUUUAGCUCAGUCGUUCCAGCGCCUGCCUCAAAAGCGCAAGGACCCGAGUUCAAUCCCCGGUACCAAAAAAAAAAAAGAGUCAGUCUAAUCCUGAUCCCAAAACUAUUGUGUGAUACGGCUGAACAUGCCCACCAAUCAGCAGUCCCUGAUUUAUUCAUUCUCAACUUCAUGUGAAAAUACCCAUGAAGACUGCAAUAAUACAAUAAAGUAGGCCGGGGAUAUAGCUCAGUGGCACAGCACCUGCCUGCCAAGUGAGAGGGCCUGAGUUCCAUUCCCGGUACAAAAAUAAAUUUUAAUGAAAAGGAGACCCUCGGCCAAAAUCCAUUGGAAAUUUCUAAUUCCAGUAUUAAUCACUGGAUUCACUGAACCAAAUGAGCUGCAGAGCAAAUAGGAAGAAGUCUCAACUUAGUCAUUGUCUUUAACUCAGGACACAGGAGCUAUGCUGCAUGGAAAACCACAUUCCUCAUUGCUCAGAAAUCAUCUGAGUAUUUUGGAGUUGACAUCUAUGCCCACGUCAUGGUUUCUUUCAACUUUGCUUUCAUAUGCUUUUUAGAAAUUGUAGGUUUCAAUUUUCAGAGAAGCUGCAGAUGAAAACAGAAAGAACUUUACACCUUAGGUCUUGCUAUAUUUAGAUAUGAAAUAUUCCCCAAAGCCCAAGUGUUAGACUUUCCCUAGAGGUGGUGGAAUCUAAAGGAGGUAGGGCUUAGUGGGAGGUCUUAGGUCAUUGAGGGUGUGUCCUCCAGUGGUGUUUUUGUACACCAGUUUCUUCCUUUUUCACUUCCCCACAGUGAGACAAAGGGGCUUCCAUGUUAUACUGCCUCAUUACAAGCCCAAAAGCAACCAGCCCUACUCAUUGUGGACUGAAACUUCCAAAGCUGUCAACCAAAAUAAGCCUUUUCUUUUUAUGAGCUGAUUAUCCCAGAAACUUAUUAAAGUAAUGAAAUUCUAACAGGUGUGCAGUCACCACAGAGCACAUUGCAUAUGGAUGGAAAUGCUGGAGAGAAUUCAACACUACAGAGAACAGUGGUCUGACUGGAGCAAAGCCAGAUCAUCCAAGAAUGGGACCAGAAGAUGCUUACACUGUCGUCCUGAUUUAAGGGAUCGAACUUGGCCUCCCUGGGCUUGCGGGGCAGGCGGCGGAACCACUGAGCUAAAUCCCCGGCCCCAGUGAUCCAAAUUUUCCAAGGACCUUGGACGUGAUUUUUAACUGACACACUAUGUACUUUGGAUACAAAUGGUUGUCUCUGGGCCCUCGUUUCUAAACUGCACUUAGCAAAUGUCAUUUCAGUUGUGUUUUUUUAAUCAAUGUAUUUUGAAAGUCUCCAAAUUUGGCUUAUAAAAUUGUGUGCUUGAAUUUGUGGAUCAAUUAUGAUGAGCAAUGUUCCAACUCGUUCCUAAAGUCACAGCCAAAGACAAGAAAGAUCUCUACAGUAAAAAGCUGGACUUUCUCUUUGUUUAAAGUAAUGUUCUAUUUGUAACCAUAUAAGCUUAAAGUAUCUUUUAAAAAUGCGUUAUCUUUCUCAGAUUCUCCAUCUGCACAUGCUCUAAUACUAUCUGUCCUCUUCCCCCAAAAGAAGGUCUGUUUUGUACUCCAAAUCCCCUGCCCUAACCCAGCCACAGGUCGCUCUCCAGCGCUUUCUCGAGAGCUUCCUGUGUACCUCCUGACCUUAGCUAGCCUCCCUCCCUCUCUUCCCAGUCAGGGUGAUUUUUCUAACCAGCUAAUCUAAUCACAUUAUUUAAUGUCCUGCUGAUACUCUCUAACGGGUCCCUGUAGCCUACUACAUAGAACCCGAAGUCACUUCCGGUUGGUAAACACGGCGUCUGCCUCAUGUUGUUCCUUUUGUUUCCAAUAUGGGCGCCUUCCUCUGGGUCCACCCCCACUUCUUACCUUGUGGCCUCAUAAAAAUCUCCUCAUUCUUCAAGACUUCAGCAUCACCUCCUCUGUGACCCAGGAGACGUAGUCCUCCCCCGGGGCAGUGGAGUACCUUAGACCUAACCAUCCCAGCCUGGCAUUCUUGGCUAUAGGUGUCUACCGGUGGGUAUGUAGAUAACUUUCUUCUCUAGGAGUGUAUAAGAUUAUUGAAUGUAAAGAUCAUAUCUUCCACUACCUGUCAUUUCAGUAUCUGUCACAAGGCCUGAGACACAGCAGGUAUUCACAAAAGAUGGGUUUGAAAGAAUAAAAUCUAUUCAAGAGAGCUAUUGUUUGAAAUUUGUUUUUGCCGAGGCUGAUGAAAUGCAGUUUGUUUCUUACCAGCAGAUGUCGCACUAGCUCUAUCUUUUUAUCUUGCUUUUUGGCUUUUCAGCUUUGCUGUAACAUUAAUUGGGCUGUUAUGAGGAAGAGAUGAUAAUUUAGGCACUGUUUACAGAAUAAAGCUGAUUUAACCUUCA
Molecule: non-coding RNA, 3173 nt
Organism: Heterocephalus glaber (naked mole-rat)
Lineage: Eukaryota; Metazoa; Chordata; Mammalia; Rodentia; Bathyergidae
Source: RefSeq, a predicted model, not a curated record